This 347-nucleotide ribosomal RNA is filed under the name Lithodytes lineatus (gold-striped frog). Its description in RNAcentral is "partial 12S ribosomal RNA". It matches the Rfam family "Bacterial small subunit ribosomal RNA", at positions 869 to 1384 of the family's 1533-position model. Lineage: Eukaryota; Metazoa; Chordata; Amphibia; Anura; Leptodactylidae. The record is from RNAcentral.
UCGCCAGGGAACUACGAGCUAUGCUUAAAACCCAAGGGACUUGACGGUACCCCAAAUCCACCUAGAGGAGCCUGUCCUAUAAUCGAUAACCCCCGCUUAACCUCACCAUUUUUUGUAAAUCAGCCUGUAUACCUCCGUCGUCAGCUUACCAUGUGAACGUUUUAUAGUGAGCUUAACGCUUAUUCACCAGUACGUCAGGUCAAGGUGCAGCUAAUGAAAUGGAUAGAGAUGGGCUACACUUUCUAACAUAGAAUAUACGAAAGAUUACCUAUGAAAUCUAAUCUGAAGGCGGAUUUAGAAGUAAAAAGAAACCAGAGUGUUCUUUUUAACUCGGCACUGGGGUGUGU